Molecule: ribosomal RNA, 468 nt
Filed under: uncultured bacterium
Lineage: Bacteria
Description: partial 16S ribosomal RNA
Rfam family: Bacterial small subunit ribosomal RNA
Source: RNAcentral
GACGAACGCUGGCGGCGUGCUUAACACAUGCAAGUCGAACGGAAAGGCCCUGCUUUGGUUGGGUGCUCGAGUGGUGAACGGGUGAGAAACACGUGAGUAACCUGCCCUUGACUUUGGGAUAACUUCAGGAAACUGGGGCUAAUACCGGAUAGGAGCUCCUGCUGCAUGGGGGGGGUUGGAAAGUUUCGGCGGUUGGGGAUGGACUUGGGGCUUAUCAGCUUGUUGGUGGGGUAGUGGCUUACGAAGGCUUCGACGGGUAGCCGGCCUGGGAGGGGGGCCGGGGACAUUGGGCCUGCGAUACGGCCCAGACUCCUACGGGAGGCAGCAGUGGGGAAUAUUGCAUAGUGGGCGGAAGCCUGAUGCAGCAACGCCGCGUGCGGGAUGACGGCCUUCGGGUGGUAAACCGCUUUCGCCUGUGACGAAGCGUGAGUGACGGUAAUGGGUAAAGAAGCACCGGCUAACUACGUG